UGUGACAUCGCCGUCUACACAGAGUGCAGAAAUCAAGAAUGUGCAUUGGAUGACUUUUCACAGAGUAAACCCAGAUGUGAAAGAAAGCACACAAACCAGAGACAGAAUAUCAACGGCAGCAACCUUGGCCACCUUCUGAUCCCAAAGGCCACCAAAGGAAAUUGAUAACCUGACUACAAACACCAUAGAUCCAACUUUGACAUUGAUCUUGAAGCUGGCCUUCCAACCCCAUGGAACCCCACCCCUUCCCACGUCAGCGGAGUAGUGAGAAGGUGAUCUCCACGAGGACAGGAAAACAGUCUCUCCUCUGCCCUUAGUAUGGAGGACAGUGCCUGCACAAGGUAGAAAAGUCGGACUCACGAGGGGAGCAGGUGGCCUGGAAUUUGCAGGGAACCAGAGUGAGUAAGCACAGUGGAGAAGAGGCACAGAAUAUUCUAUACCAGAUAUAUAUUACAGCCUAAGAGAACGUCUGUCUGCCAGAAGGCCAGUGUUUGGCAAGAGAUUCAGCCAACAGAGGGAUCUGUGGGAUGAAGGAAAAAGCAAACACAGUGAAGACGUGGAAGGAGGAAAGCAGGCAUCCACAGAGAUGGUGAGGUUUCGCUGCUAUGAACAGCCAUGUGCCGGAUUUUGUGCGGAUGUAAAUAUCAAAGAGUAUUGGGAUAAGUACCAAGGAGCGGGACUGCUGGGU
Neogale vison (American mink) is the source of this 688-nucleotide long non-coding RNA. RefSeq lists it as uncharacterized. The transcript is spliced from 5 exons. Lineage: Eukaryota; Metazoa; Chordata; Mammalia; Carnivora; Mustelidae. The record is from RefSeq and is a predicted model, not a curated record.